AUUGAACGCUGGCGGAAUGCUUUACACAUGCAAGUCGAACGGCAGCACGGGGCAACCUGGUGGCGAGUGGCGAACGGGUGAGUAAUACAUCGGAACGUGCCCAAUCGUGGGGGAUAACGUAGCGAAAGUUACGCUAAUACCGCAUACGAUCUACGGAUGAAAGCGGGGGAUCGCAAGACCUCGCGCGAGUGGAGCGGCCGAUGUCAGAUUAGGUAGUUGGUGGGGUAAAGGCUCACCAAGCCAACGAUCUGUAGCUGGUCUGAGAGGACGACCAGCCACACUGGAACUGAGACACGGUCCAGACUCCUACGGGAGGCAGCAGUGGGGAAUUUUGGACAAUGGGCGCAAGCCUGAUCCAGCCAUUCCGCGUGCAGGAUGAAGGCCUUCGGUUGUAAACUGCUUUGUACGGUACGAACGGACGAGCUCUAAUACAGUUUGCUAAUGACGGUACCGUAAGAAUAAGCACCGGCUAACUACGUGCCAGCAGCCGCGGUAAU
RNAcentral lists this ribosomal RNA (497 nucleotides) under uncultured bacterium. RNAcentral describes it as "bacterial SSU rRNA". It matches the Rfam family "Bacterial small subunit ribosomal RNA", at positions 30 to 524 of the family's 1533-position model. The record is from RNAcentral.